Molecule: ribosomal RNA, 219 nt
Filed under: Triticum aestivum (bread wheat)
Lineage: Eukaryota; Viridiplantae; Streptophyta; Magnoliopsida; Poales; Poaceae
Description: partial small subunit ribosomal RNA
Source: RNAcentral
AUGGUUCCAAUUUUUCCUAAAUUUGGACCAAAAUUAACUUGCUAUAUGGUUACACGAUUGAUUUGUGAAUCCAAUAUGAAUUUUCAAUCUGAACCUAGUUACUGCUAUUCAGCUGGCAAUAAGUUCUGGUUGUUAUCUGCCCGUAAGAACUGGACGGCAAUGCUAGACGAAAUCGAUCGAAUUCCACCAAAGUUUAGCUCAUUUGAUGUCCAUUUCUAG